GUGAAGUGGUGGUGUGGGACAGAGGUUAAAGGGCAGGCUGAGUGAAGUGGUGGUGUGGGACAGAGGUUAAAGGGCAGGCUGAGUGAAGUGGUGGUUCAUUGUUUGUGUUAGCGUGUACACUCAGUUUGUGGUCUGCUGCACCUUUUGGUUUUUUCUGUUCAGUUCUGCAUAGAAGAACAUUAAAUGGAUGUUUCCCUUCAACUCUGCCUGUGUCCUGCCUCCUCGACUGGGACAGUCACACUUUUUCACUGUCACACAGACUAAAGGAAUGAACACCCAAACCGAAGUCAGAAUUAAGUAUAUUCUCCAGUAAGACCCUUCAAAGACUACAGUAAGACUAUAACAUCUUGUUAAAGUGUAUAGAACUAAUGGUCUGAUAUUACAGCAUGUAUAAGUAUUGCUGAUGUGCUGAUUUGUUGCAGGGGAACAUGAAUGUGAUAUUUCCACACACUCUCCCUGUAGGAUGCAGUCCUACACAGAAGUGUAAGCAAACUCUGCCCGCAUACACAUAUACACAGGUUUGUAUGGUUAUCCUCAUGGGCACCAGAAAAUAGAAAUUGCAUAAGGUUGCAAAUUAACGUUGCCAUUGCAAAAGGUCCCCAUGAGUUUUUUCUGGUUUUACUGUACUCAUGGGGACAUUUGGUUCCCAUAAGUAUAGUUAGACCUAAAACACACACACACACACACACACACACACAAGCCUUAGAUUAAAGAUUUUAUAAUUAAUUAUCAACUUACAGAAAGUACAUAUUUAAUAUGUUGCCUUUUGAGUCACAAGGUUAAACCAUUUGUGAUUGGCAUUCCAAGCUCCUAACAGAGCUAUACAUUUAUUAAGAGGAUAAUGCAAUCAUAUAUAUAUAACACUGUACAUAGCAGUAAAAGAAAUAGGCUACAGUAGUGCAGCUUAGCGUUCAACAAUUUUUGCUCUGAUGUCAGAAAAAUCCUUGAUCUUCGUUUGUUUCGGGAGUUCAUUAAAUUGUAGUAAAACAAUGUGAUAAUCCACAUGUUGUAUUGUCCAAUUCAGAGCAUAUAGCUUAUACACUUUGAACAAGAGUUGACGAAAGAACCAAGUCGCAAAAAUGAAUGUUCUAGUUUGCACGGUACAACAGCGUGGAAUCCAAAUGGCGUCAAGAUGCCCAUAUGGAGUUGUCUUAAACAUGUGCAAUUCGUUACUAUAGCGCCAUCUACGGACACGGCGGUGUUUAAUCUUGGUACCCUAUGGGGAUUUCGGCCGGAUUUCACUACUUGGACAUUUUGGGUUGUAGAUUCAUUUCUGUAACAGAUACAACCUAUUAUGAUGUAUCCUGGUAAUAACAACCCCUCUGGCUACAAUAAAAACACAUAAAAACAGACUUCUGGGUCACUAUUUAUAAAACUAAUCUGUUUGAAAGGCAAAAAAAAAAAUAUGAAAACAUUUCUGCCAUUGAGCAUGAAGAUUCUUUUUUGAAAGCAUUAUGAAGUUUGGUGUCAAUGGUAUUUCCUCAUACUUUCAUGCCUUUACUAUCAAAUUACACUGUAAUCGUGUUGAAAAUAAUAAAAUAAUGAAAUAAUAGAAGGUAAAAAAUAUAGGCACCCCCAAAAAAUGGUUCUUCUACCUAGAAAUAAAACACAAUAAAAUGAAAGAUAAUUAUCUUAUCUCACUUUUUAUUUUUGUGUAAUGAUGCAGAACGGCCAGCAGAUGGCAGCACUAGAUCGCUAGUUAUGUUUGGACUUAUAUAAUUUAUAAACUCAGAAAAAUUACCAACUUCUUCCCAAAAACUCAAGAACACCCCCAUACUAUGUGGACUAAAUAUUUAUUUUUAUAUCAUAUUUAUAAUACAAACGAUGUAUUAUGGUUCAAAACAUCAUAUAUAGUGAUGUACACCCUUGUAAUCCCUAUUCUUGUCUACACAUUAGACUUUCUAAGAUGCAUGGUCAAUGUCGUUGCCUGGUGAAAAGUUCCCAUAGCAACCCAAACAAUACACGGACAACCCAAAUUAUACACGGACAACCCAAAUUAUACACGGACAACCCAAAUUAUACACGGACAACCCAAAUUAUACACGGAACGCUUCACGAAAGUUUUUCGAAAUAUUUAUGCAAAUGAGCACUGUCCGCGGUUCCGCGGAUUUCGACUUUAACACAGUAAAGAACUGUCCCCCAUGAAGCAAAAGUCGAGGCUAUAGAUCAAGUUGAGCUGGUGCCAUGUAGUGAAAAAUGGCCAUUAGUUCGUGAAAAUAUUAUGGUAAGCAAUGGCGAGAUGUGUUUACUGUACAUGUCUACACAAAGUCCUUUACACAAGCAAUAGUUUCAAAGUCUAUUUCAUUUAAAAACUACCAAUGUUGACCAAAAUUCUGUACACUAGAUUUAACAGGAGAAAAGCGGCAAAAGCUGGUGGCCCGCUGGCUGUACGACAUUAUAGCCGCCGGCAGCCCGCCAGCAGCAAAACGCCGGCGGUGCGCCAGCGAUUGCCCACUGGGGUAGUUGUCGGGUGCCAUGUCACAAGAAUUGAAUUGUUCAGCGAGAUCUAUCUAGAUUGUUCACCAAUGGGAGGGAGGAGGUGGCGGGUCCACGGGGGGAUUUGUGGCAGGGCGAAUUACACUACAGCACUUACAUUAUUGUGAGGCUGUGAGCAGACAGUCUCAAUCAAUGCAUUUAGGGAAAGUAGCGACUUCAUUUUUCUAACAAGCGACCAAACCUAUUAAAACAAAAAAAUUGCAACCCGCGACCCGUGAUUAUUUCAAGUGACUUCAAAAGAAAAUAAGGCAGAAGUGGCGAAUUACAACCAGACUUGGUAACACUGGAUGCAACUUAAGUGCAGACUUUCAGCUUUAAUUCAAGGGGUUAAGCAGAAAUAUUGUAUAUUUGUAAACGUUUAGGAAUUGAAUAACUUUUUAUAUACAGUCCCAUUAAUCAUAAGUAAAAUGUUAAUUUUAAUACUUUGUUUGAGAAUCCUUUGCAGGCAAUGGCUGAUGGUCUUGAACGCAAGUAUAUCACCAAAUGCUGGGUUUCCUCGUUCGUGAUGCUUUGACAGGCCUUUACUACAGCUGUCUUCAGUUGUUGUUUGUUCGUGGGUCUUUCCUCCAGGAUCAAUA
This is a long non-coding RNA of Esox lucius (northern pike), 3074 nucleotides long. Lineage: Eukaryota; Metazoa; Chordata; Actinopteri; Esociformes; Esocidae. The record is from Ensembl.